GACGAACGCUGGCGGCGUGCUUAACACAUGCAAGUCGAACGGUAAGGCCCUUCGGGGUACACGAGUGGCGAACGGGUGAGUAACACGUGGGUGAUCUGCCCUGCACUUCGGGAUAAGCCUGGGAAACUGGGUCUAAUACCGGAUAGGACCCUGGGAUGCAUGUCCUGGGGUGGGAAGCUUUUGCGGUGUGGGAUGGGCCCGCGGCCUCUCAGCUUGUUGGUGGGGUGAUGGCCUACCGAGGCGACGACGGGUAGCCGGCCUGAGAGGGUGACCGGCAACACUGGGACUGGGAUACGGCCCAGACUCGUACGGGAGGCAGCAGUGGGGAAUAUUGCACAAUGGGCGCAAGCCUGAUGCAGCGACGCCGCGUGAGGGAUGACGGCCUUCGGGUUGUAAACCUCUUUCAGCACCGACGAAGCGCAAGUGACGGUAGGUGCAGAAGAGGGACCGGCCAACUACGUGCCAGCCGCCGCCGUAA
Molecule: ribosomal RNA, 478 nt
Filed under: uncultured bacterium
Lineage: Bacteria
Description: partial 16S ribosomal RNA
Rfam family: Bacterial small subunit ribosomal RNA
Source: RNAcentral